This 356-nucleotide transfer-messenger RNA is filed under the name bovine gut metagenome. It matches the Rfam family "transfer-messenger RNA". From Rfam's summary of the family: Bacterial tmRNA, also known as 10Sa RNA or SsrA, is named for its dual tRNA and mRNA-like properties. The record is from RNAcentral.
GGGGAUGUAAUGGUUUCGACGGGGGUAGUGAAGCCGGAUAAGCGAGCCGUGGUCGCCGGAUCCACGUAAAAAGCUGGCCGUUAAAUAUAAACGCUAAAAAUAAUAAUUUCGCAUUUGCUGCCUAAUUUCGCAGCCCGCGCGUCACUCAUCGUUCACCUGCAGGCGGUGAUGCUGGCGUCAACCAUGCAGGAAAACUUCGCUGUAAUUCCCGUGGCAGCGAGGGACUAACGGGAUAACUUGGGUGAUGGCCUGCCGGUGGGCAGUCAUUCGGGCGAAAACUCAAUCAUCGGAUGCGCUCGGAGAAAGUUCUGUGGAUUUGCUUUCGGACGUGGGUUCGACACCCACCAUCUCCACCA